UAGUAUCAGCGUGUCAGCCGCCGCGGUAAGACGUAGGGCGCGAGCGUUGUCCGGAUUUAUUGGGCGUAAAGAGCUCGUAGGCGGCUUGUCGCGUCGAAUGUGAAAUCUCAGGGCUCAACUCUGACAUUGCAUUCGAUACGGGCAGGCUAGAGUUCGGUAGGGGAGACUGGAAUUCCUGGUGUAGCGGUGAAAUGCGCAGAUAUCAGGAGGAACACCGGUGGCGAAGGCGGGUCUCUGGGCCGAUACUGACGCUGAGGAGCGAAAGCGUGGGGAGCGAACAGGAUUAGAUACCCUGGUAGUCCACGCUGUAAACGUUGGGCGCUAGGUGUGGGGACCCUCUCCGGGUUUCUGCGCCGCAGCUAACGCAUUAAGCGCCCCGCCUGGGGAGUACGGCCGCAAGGCUAAAACUUAAAGGAAUUGGCGGG
This 425-nucleotide ribosomal RNA is filed under the name uncultured bacterium. RNAcentral's name for it is "bacterial SSU rRNA". It matches the Rfam family "Bacterial small subunit ribosomal RNA", at positions 495 to 917 of the family's 1533-position model. The record is from RNAcentral.